RNAcentral lists this ribosomal RNA (332 nucleotides) under uncultured bacterium. RNAcentral describes it as "partial 16S ribosomal RNA". It matches the Rfam family "Bacterial small subunit ribosomal RNA", at positions 338 to 667 of the family's 1533-position model. The record is from RNAcentral.
CCUACGGGAGACAGCAGUGAGGAAUAUUGGUCAAUGGCCGGAAGGCUGAACCAGCCAUGCCGCGUGAAGGUCAGUGCCCUAUGGGCGUUAAACUUCUUUUGUGCGGGAGCAAUAAUGGUCACGUGUGGCCAGACGAGAGCACCGUACGAAUAAGCAUCGGCUAACUCAGUGCCAGCAGCCGCGGGAAUACGGGGGAUGCAAGCGUUAUCCGGAUUUAUUGGGUUGAAAGGGUGCGUAGGCUGUGAGGUAAGGCAGCGGUGAAAUGCCCCGGGUCAACGGGGUGAAGUGCCAUUGAUACUGGCUUGCUGGAGUGCGGAUGCCGUGGGAGGAAU